UUGACCAGUACGAAAAUGUAUGCACUGUAAGUCUGUAUGUUAUAUUAAUUUGACAGUUCUUACAUUUCUCCAGCCCCGUCCCUCAGCUAUUUAUUGAAACAGGGGCGGGGAAGCACUUUGUUAUUGUUUCAGCUGCUGAUUGCCGCCUAACGGAAUUCUCGCAAUUUCAGUACAAAUCUUUACCAUCUACACAACUGCAUGGCCAAACGGAUGGCUAUUAUCUCAAGUCUUUCCAACUGCAAAGACGUAGCUCUUCAGAUGAAGAUUUAUCAUGGGACCAAUGUAAUGGACACACUUUGGUGCCAAAACCUGCAUUCCUCUACUGCGGUCACACUUCAAGAAGGACUUCAAAACGGACUUUACCGUAAAGAAUUUGAAUUCAAGAACAACAAAUCACCAGAUAAUAAGACCUGAGUAGUGAGGACUCCAUCUUAGGACUCCAGUCACCUUUCCCCAAUGCUAUCCGCAUAUCAGCCUGUAUCACCUAAUCUUUUCUGUCGGAUGUGAGAUUUUCCUAACGGCAAUGGCAGGACUUCUUCCCAUCUUUAAAACAACUUUCUGACAGGUUGGGGAUUAGCAGGACUGCCUUCAAAGCCAAGUCUAUGUGUGAGCAGAUUUACUCAGAACACAGGGAAUAAUUAAGCCAAGGCCCUGCUUUACGCUGCAACCAACUAGAACCGAAACACUUUUUACCUGCAGAAGGACUAGAUUGAAGACACCACAAUGUUACUCGAAGCAUUUGAUUGUUACAGCUUCUCAUGCUCCCUUUGUUGUGUCGUUUUUUUUAACCUCUGAAUCACUAAUGUACAUUAGAUCAAGUAGACUAGAGCAGUGGUUCCCAAACUUUUUAUAGUCCCGUACCCCUUCAAACAUUCAACCUUCAGCUGCGUACCCCCUCUAGCACCAUGUUCAAUGCACUCUCAAAUGUUGUUUUUUGACAUUAUUGUAAGCCUGCCACACACACACUACACAAUACAUUUAUUAAACAUAAGAAUGAGUGUGAAUUUUUGUCACAACCCUGCUCGUGGGAAGGGACAAAGAGCUCUUAUGGGACCAGGGAACAAAUAAUAAUAUAAUAA
Oncorhynchus tshawytscha (Chinook salmon) is the source of this 1079-nucleotide long non-coding RNA. RefSeq lists it as uncharacterized. The transcript is spliced from 3 exons. The record is from RefSeq and is a predicted model, not a curated record. NCBI's taxonomy places the organism in Eukaryota, Metazoa, Chordata, Actinopteri, Salmoniformes, Salmonidae.